Triticum dicoccoides is the source of this 486-nucleotide long non-coding RNA. RefSeq lists it as uncharacterized. The transcript is spliced from 3 exons. The record is from RefSeq and is a predicted model, not a curated record. Lineage: Eukaryota; Viridiplantae; Streptophyta; Magnoliopsida; Poales; Poaceae.
CCCUUCUUCUCACCCACGAAAGAGAGAGAGAAGAGAAGAGGAGCCCUCCACCCCGCCGUCGCAGCGCCAACCAAACCCUCGUCGUCGUCCCGGAUCCUGCCGUCGCCGCCGCAGCCAUGCCGUUCACCCCGGGACCCUACUCCGGCAAGAGCACCCUCGCCCUCGUGGCCAGGGUCUCCGCCGUCGGCGUCGGCGUCGUCUACGGCUCCAUCAAGCUCGGCAUCCUCAAGAUGACCAAGCCCAAGGAGGAAGCAGCUGCUCAUCACUGAGGACAAGUAGCUCCAGCGGGUUGACGCCGUAGAUUCACGAUGUACCUUCUAUAUGUGCAUUCGGUUCUGUGAUUUGUGUCUGAAACCCAAGAAACCCCAGACCCAUGUGGGAGCUGAACCUUAGUUUUUUGCUUGUGGAAAAUAAUAUCCUCGGCUGAAUCGAUUUGAAAUCAGGAAGAGUGAAACUUAAAAAAUCCUUUGGUGUGGUACUGCGAUG